This is a non-coding RNA of Pelobates cultripes (western spadefoot toad), 598 nucleotides long. The record is from the annotation of a GenBank genome assembly. Lineage: Eukaryota; Metazoa; Chordata; Amphibia; Anura; Pelobatidae.
AGCCUUUUCAAUGUUAUGGCUCUGAUUGUACUGGAUUUCUGUGUUUUUAAGGUAGCAACAGGGACCUUCUUGCUUGUACCCCUUUAGACUCCAAUAAGAUAUUCAGUUACAGCUGUGUCAAAAGGAGGAACUCUUAAUCAAACCCGUAUGCAUAUAUCACACUAGAUGUUACUCUCUGAGAUAUCCUACUGCUUUGGAAACAUCUGACUGUCCAAUUUAAUGUUCAUUAUAGAGGAGCAUUGGAAACCAUGAGUGCAUGUGCUGUGCUUGCUGUAAUCCACCAAAGAUUCUCUUGUCAUUGAAAAUUGUUGCAUUCAAUGAUUCUCUGACCAAAUCAGCUUCCAAAAACACGAAUUGUCCAUAGACUGUAAAUGCCAGUCACAACCUGUAGACAUGGACAUAAAACAUCUUACAAUUACUAGACACAAAACUAUUUCUAUAUUGGUAUUUUCCAGUGGUAGGCCUCCACAAUGUAAAUGUAUAGUUGUCACAUUUCAAAUAUGCACAAUAACUCAGUAAAAUGCAUGUCACAUUGAGAAUUGUGAAUGGAAAAACCACUUGCCAGUUGCUAGACCAAAGAGGUUUCUCCGUAAGAAGG